GACGAACGCUGGCGGCGUGCCUAAUACAUGCAAGUAGAACGCACAGUUUAUACCGUAGCUUGCUACACCAUAGACUGUGAGUUGCGAACGGGUGAGUAACGCGUAGGUAACCUGCCUGGUAGCGGGGGAUAACUAUUGGAAACGAUAGCUAAUACCGCAUAAUAUUAAUUAUUGCAUGAUAAUUAAUUGAAAGGUGCAAUUGCACCACUACCAGAUGGACCUGCGUUGUAUUAGCUAGUAGGGGAGGUAACGGCUCACCUAGGCGACGAUACAUAGCCGACCUGAGAGGGUGAUCGGCCACACUGGGACUGAGACACGGCCCAGACUCCUACGGGAGGCAGCAGUAGGGAAUCUUCGGCAAUGGACGAAAGUCUGACCGAGCAACGCCGCGUGAGUGAAGAAGGGUUUCGGAUCGUAAAGCUCUGUUGUAAGAGAAGAACGGGUGUGAGAGUGGAAAGUUCACACUGUGACGGUAUCUUACCAGAAAGGGACGGCUAACUACGUG
This 505-nucleotide ribosomal RNA is filed under the name uncultured bacterium. RNAcentral's name for it is "partial 16S ribosomal RNA". It matches the Rfam family "Bacterial small subunit ribosomal RNA", at positions 28 to 507 of the family's 1533-position model. The record is from RNAcentral.